CUCGCCCUCGCCGGAAUUCACUCAUCGCAGUUUCCCAGACAGAAGCAACUAUCAACCAUGCUAUCAGCCCGCUUCAAUUUCAUUUCGGUAAAGAGUAAACUAAGACCUGGAUCUCUGACCCCCAGACCUGGGGACACAGUAACAACCCUGGAUGGAUGUAUUGAAAAAGUCUACCAACGGAGGGCAGCAUUGAGUUUCAGUUGACUAAGUCAAGCUUGUUCGAUUUGAGGCAGAUCUGACUUGGUCUGGCUUUCUACGUAAACGUGAUCUUCAGAGGCUAGCCGGGACAGUCACGGCGGCAUGGGGGGUCUUUGGGGGGCAAGGCCCGUCCUGGAAGUCAUCUGUGCCCGCCCUCCCAUACAAAAAUGUGGUGAUUUGUGAGGACUGCUGCCCUGAGAACACUGAGUGCAUUCUGCAUAUUAUGCCAAAUCAAUGUGUGCCACUUCCAUAAAGGGGAAAAAAGUUUCUACCUGGAGAGUGUACUCACUGUUUGUGU
Long non-coding RNA from Alosa alosa (allis shad), 496 nucleotides. RefSeq lists it as uncharacterized. The record is from RefSeq and is a predicted model, not a curated record. The transcript has 3 exons. NCBI's taxonomy places the organism in Eukaryota, Metazoa, Chordata, Actinopteri, Clupeiformes, Clupeidae.